ACUACGGGGGGCUGCAGUGGGGGAUAUUGCACAAUGGGGGAAACCCUGAUGCAGCGACGCCGCGUGUGGGAAGACGGUCCUCUGGAUUGUAAACCACUGUCCCCAGGGACGAAGAUGACGGUACCUGGGGAGGAAGCUCCGGCUAACUACGUGCCAGCAGCCGCGGUAAUACGUAGGGAGCGAGCGUUGUCCGGAAUUACUGGGUGUAAAGGGAGCGUAGGCGGGACUGCAAGUUGGGGGUCAAAUCUACCGGCUCAACCGGUAGCCGCACUCAAAACUGCAGUUCUUGAGUGAAGUAGAGGCAGGCGGAAUUCCUAGUGUAGCGGUGAAAUGCGUAGAUAUUAGGAGGAACACCAGUGGCGAAGGCGGCCUGCUGGGCUUUUACUGACGCUGAGGCUCGAAAGUGUGGGGAGCAAACAGGAUUAGAUACCCUGGUAGUC
This 440-nucleotide ribosomal RNA is filed under the name uncultured bacterium. RNAcentral describes it as "partial 16S ribosomal RNA". It matches the Rfam family "Bacterial small subunit ribosomal RNA", at positions 338 to 795 of the family's 1533-position model. The record is from RNAcentral.